ACAUGGUCAGAUAAAAUUACCAACUUGAAAAGAAAUAAAAUCAAGAGCAUAUACACCUGCAAAAAAGGCCUUCCAACUCUUUUCGGCUCGUUCUUCUGGCUCUGUCCAUCGUCCAAAAGUGUGCCUCGUCCCCAAUAGAAAACCUAACCCUAAAAAAAAAGAAAAGAAGAAACUCAAAUUCCAGUCAUGAGUGUAAUGACAAAGCUAACUGUUUUGAGUGUUUUGAUUGCUUCCAGAAACUUGUCCUUGUAACUUUAUUAAAGCCAUUGUUCCUCUCUAUUAUUCUGAUCUCAAAUCUCAAUAUAAAUCAGUUUCUCCAAACAAGCUUGAAGAGCUGGAGCACCCAUGUUAUGAAAAAUCUCAUUCAAUGAUGCAGGCCACAGAUAUAUACAUGAUGAUGAUUCAUUGAUUCGUAAAACAAAUGUGAAGCCAUUUGUGGCAUUUGAUAAACUCAUAUACAUCACUGACUGAAGCAUUUGAUCGAAUAGGUGGUGGGCAUCUAAGCAUUUUGAUUCAACCAGAUUAUCAAAUAACACACCAAGACCAGUGGAAUCAGUACAAGUAACACACCAAAUUAUCAAUUAAAUACCCAUAACAUGAUCUAGCAGCUUUCUGAUAGCAAAAACCCAUACCAAAUUAUCAUUGAACUAAACUGAUAUAAAAUUGAAUCUAAACAAAAACCCAAACACCCAACAACUAAUUCAUACCUUAAACUCUUCAAAUUGAGGAGAAUCUUCUGAGGUGGAGAACUAGAGAUGAAUGGAUAAAUAGAUGAAAGAGGUGAAAGUUGCUCAGAGUACCCUCCCAAAAGGCAAAAGAUGUGUCUGUCAGGUUCGGUUCUUCUUAGUUGGGUUGGGCGGGUUCGACCAGAAAUGCUAUGCUUACACACAAGACUACCCCUCUUCUCGAAAGCUUCGCGGGGACUACUUUACGACGACGGACGACCCAAAUGUAGGGGGUUUACUGCACAAGGCCCCUGCUGAGGAAAAGCUUUAUCCCAGCGAAUAGAAGAUGCUCUCCUCUUCUCUUCACUUUAGGUUUUAAUCGGUGCAAAUCGAUCUGUUUCUAAUAAGUUAGGUUUUUCAAAUUCUGUUUUUGUUUUUGAUUAUAAUUUCUAUAUAAAAAUUAUGAAAUUACAUGUUACCUGGUAAACAAGUUACUAAUAUUAAAUAAUCUAAGCCGUUAGAUAUAUUCAAAGUUUUAUUAUAUCUAACAGUCAAAAAUAUUCAAAAGAGUUUAUGCAUGGUAUGCAUCAACUCACCUUAGAAUUUUCCGUAAAGUAGUAAUGCUAUAAUUUUAAGCGAUAAGCAAAUCAUUUGAUGUAUAGAAAUGAAC
RNAcentral lists this long non-coding RNA (1335 nucleotides) under Fragaria vesca (wild strawberry). RNAcentral's name for it is "long non-coding RNA (FVES_LNC000929)". Lineage: Eukaryota; Viridiplantae; Streptophyta; Magnoliopsida; Rosales; Rosaceae. The record is from RNAcentral.